Long non-coding RNA from Astatotilapia calliptera (eastern happy), 401 nucleotides. The record is from Ensembl. Lineage: Eukaryota; Metazoa; Chordata; Actinopteri; Cichliformes; Cichlidae.
CGAAAAUUGUGUAGUUAUGUGGGUUUCGUUUCACACGCAGAGAAGGAGGAUUCAGGACUGUUAAGGAAGAGGUUGUAUUUAAAAAGUGGGGUUGCUGGGAGUGCCUGAGGUUAUUAAGGAUUUCAACUUAAAUUAAAGUGAUACUGUGCCAGGAGCAGGAGAAAAUGGAGAGUCUGGAACAAUCAGAAGCUUUUUGCUUGCAGGGAUUGCUUGUCUUUUGUUCUUUCUUCCUACCCUCACCUCAAAUGCCCCUGGCCUUGGUUCCCUUGCAACUGCCUGGAAAUCAGUGCUAUAUUACAGGAGACCUUUUGUACUUUCCCUUGUUUUCUAUCACAGAUAUAUUUUCAAAAUGCUGGUUCCCCCACCUGAACAUAGCCAAAGUUUAAAAUAAAUGUCUGUAU